RNAcentral lists this long non-coding RNA (683 nucleotides) under Mytilus galloprovincialis (Mediterranean mussel). Lineage: Eukaryota; Metazoa; Mollusca; Bivalvia; Mytilida; Mytilidae. The record is from RNAcentral.
AGUUGCAUUUGCUAUCAUCCAACAUCUUCUUCUUUUCAUUUUUAUCUCACAAACAUUCAUGUCAUGUCACCAUCAAUGUUUUAACAUAGUUUAUUACCCGGAUCAACUAUCAUACAUUCAUGACAAUUAAUGCUUAAAUAUCGAUACAUUCACAUGCAUGUAUGAACUUUCAUGGAUGUGAUCCUUAAACAAAGAAAUAACAUUCAUUUGGUAAACAAUAUGUAAAUACAAUUCAACUUUAACCUUUGCAUUAUCAAAUAUUUGUACAUGGAAAUCUCCUUAGCGCAUUUAAAGGGUUGGAUUCAAUAGAAUGCAUCCACCACAGACAUCACAUAUCUCUAUGAGUUCUUAUAUAUCUCUAUGUGUUCUUAUACAUCUCUAUGUGUUCUUGUAUAUCUUUAUGAGUCAUCAGGUCAUCAAUGGUCAUCAUUUCAAAUAAUGCUUGGCCCAUGAUUUAAACCUCACACAGGUAUAUGCUUGUAUGCAUCUGACAGUUUCCAUUUUUAUAUACAUUUAUCCCUCUUCUAAAUACCUCACAUUGUCAUAUAUAUAUAUAAGGUGUAAUAGUUAUUUCCAGCAUGUCAAGUAUAUGUCUUUUUAGUGCAUUUCUUCUGAAAACAACUUUUAAGCAUGUACGUCAUACCCGGUAUUUAUGAUGUUUGUCACAAAAAUGUGUUCUCUGC